Molecule: ribosomal RNA, 428 nt
Filed under: uncultured Halomonas sp.
Lineage: Bacteria; Pseudomonadati; Pseudomonadota; Gammaproteobacteria; Oceanospirillales; Halomonadaceae
Description: bacterial SSU rRNA
Rfam family: Bacterial small subunit ribosomal RNA
Source: RNAcentral
GGGAGGAUAUUGGACAAUGGGCGCAAGCCUGAUCCAGCCAUGCCGCGUGUGUGAAGAAGGCCCUCGGGUUGUAAAGCACUUUCAGUGGGGAAGAAAGCCUGGUGGUUAAUACCCGUCAGGAAGGACAUCACCCACAGAAGAAGCACCGGCUAACUCCGUGCCAGCAGCCGCGGUAAUACGGAGGGUGCGAGCGUUAAUCGGAAUUACUGGGCGUAAAGCGCGCGUAGGUGGCUUGAUAAGCCGGUUGUGAAAGCCCGGCUGCAACCUGGGAACGGCAUCCGGAACUGUCAGGCUAGAGUGCAGGAGAGGAAGGUAGAAUUCCCGGUGUAGCGGUGAAAUUGCGUAGAGAUCGGGAGGAAUACCAGUGGCGAAGGCGGCCUUCUGGACUGACACUGACACUGAGGUGCGAAAAGCGUGGGUAGCAAACA